RNAcentral lists this long non-coding RNA (306 nucleotides) under Sus scrofa (pig). Its description in RNAcentral is "lncRNA (ENSSSCG00065047549.1)". The record is from RNAcentral. Lineage: Eukaryota; Metazoa; Chordata; Mammalia; Artiodactyla; Suidae.
UGUUGGAGUCAAGAUUAUCAAAUGUAUAUUCUCAUUAGAGAAAAUCUAACAAAAUCACUCAAUUCAUAAUACAGCAACCUCCAGACCUGAAUGAGUUUGAUGAGAAAGCAUGGGAAGAAAUGCCAGAUCACUGUGCUCCCUGUGUUGAGACUGAAACAAGAAGGCCUGAAGCAGGGGAACAUGGCUGUGUAACGGGGGCAGAAACACCUGAACCUCCAGGUCCAUCAGGAGAAAACAGCAAAAUGCGAUAAGCUUUCAAUUGGCCUGGAAGGACACUGUGGCCCUGGGACAGAUGGACAGCCAUUC